This 1675-nucleotide long non-coding RNA is filed under the name Homo sapiens (human). Its description in RNAcentral is "HSALNT0159338". Lineage: Eukaryota; Metazoa; Chordata; Mammalia; Primates; Hominidae. The record is from RNAcentral.
GUGGUGGCCUUUUGCGCCGGGCUUUUGGUCUCUCACCCGGUGCUGACGCAGGGCCAGGAGGCCGGGGGGCGGCCAGGGGCCGACUGUGAAGUAUGUAAAGAAUUCUUGAACCGAUUCUACAAGUCACUGAUAGACAGAGGAGUUAACUUUUCGCUGGACACUAUAGAGAAAGAAUUGAUCAGUUUUUGCUUGGACACCAAAGGAAAAGAAAACCGCCUGAAAAAACACUGGACUUGGCAUCAGUUGACCUGCGGAAGAUGAGAGUGGCAGAGCUGAAGCAGAUCCUGCAUAGCUGGGGGGAGGAGUGCAGGGCCUGUGCAGAAAAAACUGACUAUGUGAAUCUCAUUCAAGAGCUGGCCCCCAAGUAUGCAGCGACACACCCCAAAACAGAGCUCUGAUCUCCAAUGCCAGCACAUUUGUGACUUGUAAUUAGAGAGAAAAGUGACUCUCUAGGAUAUGGACAUGUUGAUUAAGGAUAACUGGGAAUGCAUCAUAUUUGGUCUCAUGCUUUUUGUGUUGGUAUUAUUCCUCAGAAUUUUGUUACGUGGGUUUAUGAGUGAAACUAAUACUACUGAUAACUUACAUUUGCAGUGUACCAAAAGCUAAAAGUUCCUUUCUCAUAAGUUUCUUGGAAUGACUAUGCCAGUUUUCAUUGCCUGUCUCCUAAAAGUGACCUACUGACAAAUUGAUGGAGUAAAUUGAUUCCAAGAAAGAAGAAGGCAUUCAGAGACUCCUCUCUGGAUGCAAUUUUAAAAUAUAUUGGACUAAAACAAAAGACACAACAGUCAGCUUAUCUAAUGCACAACUUCAAUCCCAAAUACAGAAUCAAAAGUUUUUUUCAAGUGAAUUUUCUGUUUUCACUCUAUAUUGUAGCUCUCUUUGGUAUCAGAAAUGGUCAGGCAGGAGUACUCGUUUUUCCCAUUGGAAGAAAACCCACUUAAACCUACUUAAAGAAAAUAGAGAGAUCAAGAAACCGUAUAAGUAUAGCCAAUGUUUGGCAAUUAUAUCAACAUUUACAUUGUUAAUUGAACCAAGCUCAAGGUCUUUUUCAUUCCUUACAGUCACAUAUCAGACAAGUUUUUGAUGGAAGAUUAAAGCAUAUUAAAAACACUCAUAGGCAACUUGGAACUUUACCAUUGUUAAUGCUAUUUUAUCAGCUUUCGGUUGUAAAAUCAUCUUUGGUUCCAUUUUCUGGCCACAUAAGAAUAAGAAACCCACAGUAGAAGUGUCCGCCUCUGUGUGGCAGGUACAGCUGGGGAAUACUGAAAAAACAUUUCCUUGGAACUUUCUGGAGUGAUGGGAAUGUCCUAUAUCUUGAUUGACAUGGGGAUUACAUGGGUUAAUAACAUUGUCAUCUGGUAGGAUAAUUAAGAUCUGGGCAUUUUAUUGUAUGUACAUAAUAUCUUUAAAAACUGCUGUAGAAAAAUUAUUUGGAAAUUAACUAAAAUUAAUUAAUUCAACACACCUUGUUUGCUAGGCACAGUGGCUCACACCUGUAAUCCCAGCACUUCAAGAGGCUGAGGCGGGAGGAUUGCCUGAGUCUAGGAGUUAGAGAUCAGCCUGAGCAACAGAGUGAGGUUCCGUCUCCACCAAAAAUUUUAAAAUUAGCUGCGCAUGAUAGUGUGUACCUGUAGUCCCAGCUACUCGGGAGGCUGAGGUGGGAGGACUGCUUGAG